GUCUUAGGUUAAUUAAAGGUCUGCCCGCCCACUCAAUUAUUGAAGGGCCGCAGUAUUUUGACUGUGCAAAGGUAGCAUAAUCAUUAGUUUUUUAAUUAAAAGCUUGUAUGAAGGGUUGGACGAAGUAAAAUCUGUCUCUAUAAAAUUUAUUAUAGAAUUUAAUUUUUAAGUUAAAAAGCUUAAAUUUUUAUAAAAGACGAGAAGACCCUAUAGAGCUUUAUACAGAUUAUUUUAAUAUAAUUUAAGAAUAUUUUGAUUUUUAAUUAUAGUUUGUAUUUUAUUGGGGUAAUAAUUAGAUUGAAUUAAUUCUUUUUUAAUUAAUACAUUGAUUAAUGGUUAGUUGAUCCAAAAUUUUUGAUUAUAAGAUUAAGUUACCUUAGGGAUAACAGCGUAAUUUUUUUUGAGAGUUCAUAUCGAUAAAAAAGUUUGCGACCUCGAUGUUGGAUUAAAAAUUAUUCUGGGUGUAGAAGUUCAGAAUUUUGGUCUGUUCGACCAUCAAAUUUUUACA
RNAcentral lists this ribosomal RNA (508 nucleotides) under Platynectes nitens. Its description in RNAcentral is "Agametrus nitens partial 16S ribosomal RNA". It matches the Rfam family "Bacterial large subunit ribosomal RNA", at positions 1887 to 2600 of the family's 2925-position model. The record is from RNAcentral. Lineage: Eukaryota; Metazoa; Arthropoda; Insecta; Coleoptera; Dytiscidae.